This 2070-nucleotide long non-coding RNA is filed under the name Androctonus crassicauda. The record is from RNAcentral. Lineage: Eukaryota; Metazoa; Arthropoda; Arachnida; Scorpiones; Buthidae.
GUUAUCAAUCUGUGCGAAAUUUGUCACCGCUAUUGGCCUAUUUGCGAUAAAGAAACCGUAGUUCAUUCUCUCUGCUCUCUAUUCAUAUAUUUGUGAUUCGGUCGUAGAUGAAAUAGUUGAAUGAAUGAUAGCCGUUCCUAUCGAAAAGUUUGCUUUCUCCUAAGGCGCGAGGAAAGGAAGGGAAUUAAAUAAACGUGGUAAUAAUGCCUAGUGAUGUAACAGGAAAAUUAGCGAAGGAUUUCUGCGUAAAAACGUAGAAACUUGGCAGAAGAGAGAGAAAGAGAGAUGUGCAGCGUGGAGAAGGGCGUUUCACAUCGACGGAAACAAUACGAGUGAGAACGAGUUUGUCGAGUUCACUCAACUCGGAACAGGUUCUUUUCGACGCCCUAUGUGGCAUGUAAUGGCCGACUCUCUUCAAAUUAUUUGGCUGCACUUUUUCGUGUAUUAAGUAUGGCUGCAGCUGCAAGCUUCUCCCUAGUCGAUUGCUUUUCUGCUUAUUGAUCUCUGCGGAAUUCCAUGCCAGAAUCUGUCCGGUUAGCGUGAUACACUCUUCUCUAGACGUACUAAAUUUGGGGGGAGUGGCUAGCCUUUCCGCCCAGAAGGAACAUGCAAUGACCACUUUUGAUCUCCCUGCGUACCAGACACGCGGAGGAAAAGACACCGUUUACCCCUGUAGAAUAGGAGGAUCGCUUUAUAAACGUCAUUCCGAGUAAAUAAUGCGACCGAAGAUUUAACGUGGAGGCGACGAAGAGUGUCAAACACGUGACAGAUAGUCAGACGUCAGCAGGUGCUUCGUUUCUGACAGAAACCUGAUAGAUUGUAGGUAAUCCGCAAAACAAUGGCUACUCUCUCUUCUCUCUGCUAGACAUCGCUUGAUAAAUGGCCCGAGGCGAAGCUGUAUCUCCACCAGCCAGUCGGAAAUUUUGGUAGGUCCAUUGCAUAGUCUUCGACUGUAUCCACAGAUGGCGCCACAUCAGAAAUAAUUUAUUUAGCCCUCUAAACGUGAGCGAGUUUAUUUGAUCUUUAAACAGGACACGGAGAGGAGUGGUCAGAGAAUCUCUUUAACUGAUAAAAAUGCAGAUUUUGAUCGUAGCUAGUUUAAAGAGACGUCGAAAACGUCGUGGCACGAUCAUCACUUGGUAAAGUCGGAGGAAUAAUGAAGUGGCUAUUGAUUGCUAACUUGGCCUCUUUGUGACUAGUAAAUGGACUGUUUGAUUGAUGCGUGCAGUUUGGUCCAGCUGCGGGCGUUUUGUAUACAGGCCGCAGCUCCAUGAUACCAGUUGAUGCCGUGCAAAUCGACAACCUUUCAGAGCACUUAUACAACUAUAUUUAGGCCCAUCGCUGACCAACUCUUUAUCUAUAUUUGCGCUCGUAAGCCAACACUCCAAAAGAUAAUGUCUUAUUAUCGUUUUUAGAUCUUUGUUCAUAAUUAUUCGGUAGUUUUUCUGUCUAAUUUCUUCCCCUUAAUAUUACUAACACAAAACGAGACUAGUAAACAGUGUCACGAUAUAUGCGGAGUACGAAAAAAUAUAUAUAUUGUAUUUAGGAUCGAUGUAAACGCGAUACAACAGUUAAGGUUUGAAUUUUUCGAUUUUUUACGGUCGGUUGGCCGUUAAGCAAGAGCUCAUAAUUAAAAAAAAUGACCUCGAAAUUUCGCGAAAGCAGAAUAGCGUGUCCCAGUUUUAGACUUCCUCCUCAGAAAAUCAGCUUUAAAGGUUUUGCGGAAAGUUCUGCGAUCCAAAUUUAUUAUCAAAAUAAAAACAAAAAUGGCCGACUUUUGCUGGUGGAACAAAUAAAGUACACGGCGAAACGGCUAGAGCGGAUAUUUUUAUCUCUGUCACAAUUAAAAUUUUUAUUUUAAUAUUUAAUUCUUCCACAUGUCUGGCUCGAUAACUAUUUUUAUAAGCGUGCUGCAGCGUUAUUGAGCCUUCUAGUAUCUUUGGUCCGAUGGCGACAGUUUCAUUAGUUUAGAAUAAAAAAAUAAAUAAAAAGAGAAGAGGGUAACAUUUUUCUUUUUUUUUUUUUUUUUCCUUUCUUCCUCCCAUUCCCUAUCUUCUUAAAUUCGUUCAC